UAACUCUUAGCGGUGGAUCACUUGGCUCGUGGAUCGAUGAAGAACGCAGCUAGCUGCGAUAAAUAGUGCGAAUUGCAGACGCAUUGAGCACAAAGAUUUCGAACGCACAUUGCACCAUCGGGUUGAUUCCCGAUGGUACGUCUGGUUGAGGGUCAAU
This 157-nucleotide ribosomal RNA is filed under the name Onchocerca fasciata. Its description in RNAcentral is "5.8S ribosomal RNA". It matches the Rfam family "5.8S ribosomal RNA". From Rfam's summary of the family: 5.8S ribosomal RNA (5.8S rRNA) is a component of the large subunit of the eukaryotic ribosome. It is transcribed by RNA polymerase I as part of the 45S precursor that also contains 18S and 28S rRNA. The record is from RNAcentral. Lineage: Eukaryota; Metazoa; Nematoda; Chromadorea; Rhabditida; Onchocercidae.